Molecule: transfer RNA, 85 nt
Filed under: Felis catus (domestic cat)
Lineage: Eukaryota; Metazoa; Chordata; Mammalia; Carnivora; Felidae
Rfam family: tRNA
About the family: Transfer RNA (tRNA) molecules are approximately 80 nucleotides in length. Their secondary structure includes four short double-helical elements and three loops (D, anti-codon, and T loops). Further hydrogen bonds mediate the characteristic L-shaped molecular structure. tRNAs have two regions of fundamental functional importance: the anti-codon, which is responsible for specific mRNA codon recognition, and the 3' end, to which the tRNAs corresponding amino acid is attached (by aminoacyl-tRNA synthetases). tRNAs cope with the degeneracy of the genetic code in two manners: having more than one tRNA (with a specific anti-codon) for a particular amino acid; and 'wobble' base-pairing, i.e. permitting non-standard base-pairing at the 3rd anti-codon position.
Source: Rfam by way of RNAcentral
GCCCGGGUGGCUCAGUCGGUUGAGCAUCCGACUUCGGCUCAGGCCAUGAUCUCGCGGUUCGUGGGUUCGAGCCCCGCGUCGGGCU